UGGUUCUGGCAUCGAUGAAGAACGCAGCGAAAUGCGAUAAGUAAUGUGAAUUGCAGAAUUCCGUGAAUCAUCGAAUCUUUGAACGCACAUUGCGCCCUUUGGUAUUCCGAAGGGCAUGCCUGUUCGAGCGUCAUUGCAACCCUCAAGCACUGCUUGGU
Molecule: ribosomal RNA, 158 nt
Filed under: Physcia tenella var. marina
Lineage: Eukaryota; Fungi; Ascomycota; Lecanoromycetes; Caliciales; Physciaceae
Description: 5.8S ribosomal RNA
Rfam family: 5.8S ribosomal RNA (bases 1-133)
About the family: 5.8S ribosomal RNA (5.8S rRNA) is a component of the large subunit of the eukaryotic ribosome.
Source: RNAcentral